Molecule: unclassified non-coding RNA, 229 nt
Filed under: uncultured fungus
Lineage: Eukaryota; Fungi
Description: sequence contains ITS1, 5.8S rRNA gene
Rfam family: 5.8S ribosomal RNA (bases 181-229)
Source: RNAcentral
UCUCCGUUGGUGAACCAGCGGAGGGAUCAUUACUGAGUGAGGGUCUAACCGCCCGACCUCCAACCCUUUGUGAAUCGUACUCGUUGCUUCGGGGGCGACCCUGCCGUUCGCGGCGCGGGGCCCCCGGUGGACCACCCAACCCUGCAUCGUUGCGUCUGAGUCGAAAUAUAAAUCAAUCAAAACUUUCAACAACGGAUCUCUUGGUUCUGGCAUCGAUGAAGAACGCAGC